RNAcentral lists this ribosomal RNA (253 nucleotides) under uncultured bacterium. RNAcentral's name for it is "partial 16S ribosomal RNA". It matches the Rfam family "Bacterial small subunit ribosomal RNA", at positions 524 to 776 of the family's 1533-position model. The record is from RNAcentral.
UACGGAGGGUGCAAACGUUGCUCGGAAUCAUUGGGCGUAAAGCGCACGUAGGCGGACCGGUAAGUCGGAUGUGAAAGCCCUCGGCUUAACCGAGGAAGUGCAUUCGAAACUGACGGUCUUGAGUAUGGAAGAGGGUCGCGGAAUUCCCGGUGUAGAGGUGAAAUUCGUAGAUAUCGGGAGGAACACCAGUGGCGAAGGCGGCGACCUGGGCCAAUACUGACGCUGAGGUGCGAAAGCGUGGGGAGCAAACAGG